This 232-nucleotide unclassified non-coding RNA is filed under the name uncultured fungus. RNAcentral describes it as "sequence contains ITS1, 5.8S rRNA gene". The stretch from base 184 to 232 matches the Rfam family "5.8S ribosomal RNA", at positions 1 to 49 of the family's 154-position model. Lineage: Eukaryota; Fungi. The record is from RNAcentral.
UCUCCGUAGGUGAACCUGCGGAGGGAUCAUUACUGAGUGAGGGUCUCCGGGCCCGACCUCCAACCCUUUGUUGUCCGACUCUGUUGCCUCCGGGGCGACCCUGCCUUCGGGCGGGGGCUCCGGGUGGACACUUCAAACUCUUGCGUAACUUUGCAGUCUGAGUAAACUUAAUUAAUAAAUUAAAACUUUUAACAACGGAUCUCUUGGUUCUGGCAUCGAUGAAGAACGCAGC